GACGAACGCUGGCGGCGUGCUUAACACAUGCAAGUCGAACGGAAAGGCCCUGCUUUUGUGGGGUGCUCGAGUGGCGAACGGGUGAGUAACACGUGAGUAACCUGCCCUUGACUUUGGGAUAACUUCAGGAAACUGGGGCUAAUACCGGAUAGGAGCUCCUGCUGCAUGGUGGGGGUUGGAAAGUUUCGGCGGUUGGGGAUGGACUCGCGGCUUAUCAGCUUGUUGGUGGGGUAGUGGCUUACCAAGGCUUUGACGGGUAGCCGGCCUGAGAGGGUGACCGGCCACAUUGGGACUGAGAUACGGCCCAGACUCCUACGGGAGGCAGCAGCGGGGAAUAUUGCACAAUGGGCGGAAGCCUGAUGCAGCAACGCCGCGUGCGGGAUGACGGCCUUCGGGUUGUAAACCGCUUUCGCCUGUGACGAAGCGUGAGUGACGGUAAUGGGUAAAGAAGCACCGGCUAACUACGUGCCAGCAGCCGCGGUGAUACGUAGGGUGCGAGCGUUGUCCGGAUUUAUUGGGCGUAAAGGGCUCGUAGGUGGUUGAUCGCGUCGGAAGUGUAAUCUUGGGGCUUAACCCUGAGCGUGCUUUCGAUACGGGUUGACUUGAGGAAGGUAGGGGAGAAUGGAAUUCCUGGUGGAGCGGUGGAAUGCGCAGAUAUCAGGAGGAACACCAGUGGCGAAGGCGGUUCUCUGGGCCUUUCCUGACGCUGAGGAGCGAAAGCGUGGGGAGCGAACAGGCUUAGAUACCCUGGUAGUCCACGCUGUAAACGGUGGGUACUAGGUGUGGGGUCCAUUCCACGGGUUCCGUGCCGUAGCUAACGCUUUAAGUACCCCGCCUGGGGAGUACGGCCGCAAGGCUAAAACUCAAAGGAAUUGACGGGGCCCGCACAAGCGGCGGAGCAUGCGGAUUAAUUCGAUGCAACGCGUAGAACCUUACCUGGGUUUGACAUGGAUCGGGAGUGCUCAGAGAUGGGUGUGCCUCUUUUGGGGUCGGUUCACAGGUGGUGCAUGGCUGUCGUCAGCUCGUGUCGUGAGAUGUUGGGUUAAGUCCCGCAACGAGCGCAACCCUUGUUCACUGUUGCCAGCACGUUAUGGUGGGGACUCAGUGGAGACCGCCGGGGUCAACUCGGAGGAAGGUGGGGAUGACGUCAAGUCAUCAUGCCCCUUAUGUCCAGGGCUUCACGCAUGCUACAAUGGCUGGUACAGAGAGUGGCGAGCCUGUGAGGGUGAGCGAAUCUCGGAAAGCCGGUCUCAGUUCGGAUUGGGGUCUGCAACUCGACCUCAUGAAGUCGGAGUCGCUAGUAAUCGCAGAUCAGCAACGCUGCGGUGAAUACGUUCCCGGGGCU
Molecule: ribosomal RNA, 1345 nt
Filed under: uncultured bacterium
Lineage: Bacteria
Description: partial 16S ribosomal RNA
Rfam family: Bacterial small subunit ribosomal RNA
Source: RNAcentral